This 732-nucleotide ribosomal RNA is filed under the name uncultured Leptotrichia sp. Its description in RNAcentral is "bacterial SSU rRNA". It matches the Rfam family "Bacterial small subunit ribosomal RNA", at positions 28 to 776 of the family's 1533-position model. Lineage: Bacteria; Fusobacteriati; Fusobacteriota; Fusobacteriia; Fusobacteriales; Leptotrichiaceae. The record is from RNAcentral.
GAUGAACGCUGACAGAAUGCUUAACACAUGCAAGUCUUUGGCAAAUCUGUGCUUGCACAGCCUAGCCAAGGCGGACGGGUGAGUAACGCGUAAAGAACUUGCCCUGCAGACAGGGAUAACAGACGGAAACGACUGAUAAUACCUGAUACAAUUGCCAGCACGCAUGUGCCCGGCAAUGAAAAGUGAUGCUGCAGGAGAGCUUUGCGUCCUAUUAGCUUGUUGGUGAGGUAACGGCUCACCAAGGCGAUGAUAGGUAGCCGGCCUGAGAGGGUGAACGGCCACAAGGGGACUGAGAUACGGCCCUUACUCCUACGGGAGGCAGCAGUGGGGAAUAUUGGACAAUGGGGGCAACCCUGAUCCAGCAAUUCUGUGUGCACGAAGAAGGUUUUCGGAUUGUAAAGUGCUUUCAGCAGGGAAGAAGAAAGUGACGGUACCUGCAGAAGAAGCGACGGCUAAAUACGUGCCAGCAGCCGCGGUAAUACGUAUGUCGCAAGCGUUAUCCGGAAUUAUUGGGCAUAAAGGGCAUCUAGGCGGCCAGACAAGUCUGGGGUGAAAACUUGCGGCUCAACCGCAAGCCUGCCCUGGAAACUGUUUGGCUAGAGUGCUGGAGAGGUGGACGGAACUGCACGAGUAGAGGUGAAAUUCGUAGAUAUGUGCAGGAAUGCCGAUGAUGAAGAUAGUUCACUGGACGGUAACUGACGCUGAAGUGCGAAAGCUGGGGGAGCGAACAGG